GGAUUCGUAGGUUGCGGAGGUUGGUGUUGAGUGAGGAUAGUAUGGAUGAGGACGAAUGUAAUGAGGCUAAUUCCCAAAGGAAGCGGGGUCUAAGUCAUGACAGCGAGUCAGAAGACGCGAGUGAACGAGUGGUGAGGAGGAAAAUGGAUCAGGACGAAUGGAAAGUGCUGGGUGCUGGAGCACAUCGGGGUGCAGGCGCUCGUGACCCACGCUGGACAGACUCGUCCUGUGCCUGGCGAUGAGGAGCCCCGAGGGGAAAGAGGCUCAGGUCUGUUACUUCAUCAUCCAGCUCCUCCUCCUCAAACCCAACGACUUCAGCAACCGCGUCAGUGAUUUCGGGAAGGAGAACGCUCCUGAACACUGGCUGCAGAGCGACUGGCACACCAAACACAUGACCUACCACUAGGUUCCUCUCGGAGGUGCUGAAGCCCAUCAUGAAGACAGAGUUCCAGCUGCUGUAUGUGUAUCACCUGGGGCCGUUUCUGCAGCGCUUCCAGCAGGAGAGGACCAGAUGCAUGCUGGAGUGUUUUUGAUCAAAUAAAUGCAGCACUGGUGAGCAGAAGAGACCGACCCCAAACCGUUGAACUGUUCAGAACCACAGAUGAUGACACUUGCUUGAGUCCUGUUAAACCAGAAGUGAAGUGUGCAGGUGGAGAGGAUCAUCUGCGUCUCCGUCUGUGCUUCAUCAGUCUCAUCAGUAAGAUGGAGCCGGUGGCAGCGGUGACCUCUGUCUCAGUCCUCUGUCUGUGGGUCAGUGAGCUCCUGCUGGACACAGAGCAUCUCAAGACUGAGCUUGACCAGCUGAAGACACCGGACACACGGAAUGAAGAUCAUGUGACGUGAUGUGUGUUUUAUGUAUGCUUUUUUUCAUUGAAUCAUGUUACUUUUUUUUUUUUUUACGUAAGAUAAAGACUGAUCAUGUGUUAACCAAAUGUGCAGAGUGGUUUCAUUUGUCCUUUAAUGUGUCUGUCAGAAUCAGAGCUACAAGCAUUACAUUGAUCAGAAGUAACCUCAGAUUCCUAUUUCAAAUAAAUGCUGCUCUUUCUGACUUUGUUCAUCUGUGAAUCCUGAAAAAAAAAUGUAUCACAAUUUCCACAGAAAU
Molecule: RNA transcript, 1102 nt
Organism: Carassius auratus (goldfish)
Lineage: Eukaryota; Metazoa; Chordata; Actinopteri; Cypriniformes; Cyprinidae
Gene name: mediator of RNA polymerase II transcription subunit 23-like
Exons: 5
Source: RefSeq, a predicted model, not a curated record